ACGGGAGCUUGCUCCUGGUGGCUAGUGGCGAACGGGUGAGUAAUGCGUCGGAACGUGCCGAGUAAUGGGGGAUAACGCAGCGAAAGUUGUGCUAAUACCGCAUACGCCCUGAGGGGGAAAGUGGGGGAUCGCAAGACCUCACGUUAUUCGAGCGGCCGACGUCUGAUUAGCUAGUUGGUGGGGUAAAGGCCCACCAAGGCGACGAUCAGUAGCGGGUCUGAGAGGAUGAUCCGACACACUGGGACUGAGACACGGCCCAGACUCCUACGGGAGGCAGCAGUGGGGAAUUUUGGACAAUGGGGGCAACCCUGAUCCAGCCAUUCCGCGUGAGUGAAGAAGGCCUUCGGGUUGUAAAGCUCUUUCAGCUGGAGUGAAACGGUGCGCUCUAACAUAGCGCGCUAAUGACGGUACCAGCAGAAGAAGCACCGGCUAACUACGUGCCUGCAGCCGCGGUAAUACGUAGGGUGCGAGCGUUAAUCGGAAUUACUGGGCGUAAAGCGUGCGCAGGCGGAUUGUUAAGCAAGAUGUGAAAUCCCCGGGCUUAACCUGGGAAUGGCAUUUUGAACUGGCAGUCUAGAGUGCGUCAGAGGGGGGUGGAAUUCCACGUGUAGCAGUGAAAUGCGUAGAGAUGUGGAGGAACACCGAUGGCGAAGGCAGCCCCCUGGGAUGACACUGACGCUCAUGUACGAAAGCGUGGGUAGCAAACAGGAUUAGAUACCCUGGUAGUCCACGCCCUAAACGAUGUCAACUGGUUGUUGGGGGAGUGAAAUCCCUUAGUAACGAAGCUAACGCGUGAAGUUGACCGCCUGGGGAGUACGGUCGCAAGAUUAAAACUCAAAGGAAUUGACGGGACCCGCACAAGCGGUGGAUGAUGUGGAUUAAUUCGAUGCAACGCGAAAACCCUUACCUACCAUUGACAUGUCCAGGAACCUGAAGAGAUUUGGGGUGCCUAAGAGGNAGUGUACACAGUCCNGAGUCAGCGUAGUGAUGCUAUGAUGUUUUGCCUUGUUCUUUUCUU
This 1018-nucleotide ribosomal RNA is filed under the name uncultured Thiobacillus sp. RNAcentral's name for it is "bacterial SSU rRNA". It matches the Rfam family "Bacterial small subunit ribosomal RNA", at positions 72 to 1203 of the family's 1533-position model. The record is from RNAcentral. Lineage: Bacteria; Pseudomonadati; Pseudomonadota; Betaproteobacteria; Nitrosomonadales; Thiobacillaceae.